This is a long non-coding RNA of Helianthus annuus (common sunflower), 384 nucleotides long. RefSeq lists it as uncharacterized. The record is from RefSeq and is a predicted model, not a curated record. The transcript has 3 exons. Lineage: Eukaryota; Viridiplantae; Streptophyta; Magnoliopsida; Asterales; Asteraceae.
AGCAGGGGGAAGGAAAACCCAUCUUCUUCAAACCCUACUUCAAGAAAUCUCAAAAAUUGAAGUGUUGUAAAUCAAGAAUCAGUUGCAUGAACCCAAAAACUCCUUAAUCUAAGUCCAUUCAACAAGAAGGGCGUGAAAGAAGAAGGCUCAAACACUAAGAGAACGGGAGACUCUCAAGAUCGAGGUAAAUCCUCAAUCUAGGCGGUUGGACGAUAUGGAAUGAGCACACUUGAUCUACGCCCACUACACACUUCCGUCAUAAGUUAAUAUAACGUGGUCUAAACUUUUGGUCUUAUGUACUUUAAGUUGUGUAGAAUGUUGAUGUCUUAAUGGUUUGGUUAAAACUUAUUAGUGCAAGUAUUGUCGUAAACAACUUAAACGUUC